Non-coding RNA from Gossypium hirsutum (cotton), 145 nucleotides. Lineage: Eukaryota; Viridiplantae; Streptophyta; Magnoliopsida; Malvales; Malvaceae. The record is from Rfam.
UGUUAAAAAUUUUAUUAAUUUUUACUAUUAAAAAUUAGGAUGGUUGAUAAAAUAAUCAGAUAAUUACAUAUGACGUAUUAGAUGUACCUUAUUUUGACAUAUAGUGAGUAGUUUUUAACAGUUAAAAUGAAUGAAAAUUUUAAUU